RNAcentral lists this ribosomal RNA (492 nucleotides) under uncultured bacterium. RNAcentral's name for it is "partial 16S ribosomal RNA". It matches the Rfam family "Bacterial small subunit ribosomal RNA", at positions 29 to 507 of the family's 1533-position model. The record is from RNAcentral.
AGUGAACGCUGGCGGUAGGCCUAACACAUGCGAGCCGAACGGCAGCACAGUAAGAGCUUGCUCUUACGGGUGGCGAGUGGCGGACGGGUGAGGAAUACAUCGGAAUCUACUUUUUCGUGGGGGAUAACGUGGGGAAACUUACGCUAAUACCGCAUACGACCUACGGGUGAAAGCAGGGGAUCUUCGGACCUUGCGCGAUUGAAUGAGCCGAUGUCGGAUUAGCUAGUUGGCGGGGUAAAGGCCCACCAAGGCGACGAUCCGUAGCUGGUCUGAGAGGAUGAUCAGCCACACUGGAACUGAGACACGGUCCAGACUCCUACGGGAGGCAGCAGUGGGGAAUAUUGGACAAUGGGCGCAAGCCUGAUCCAGCCAUACCGCGUGGGUGAAGAAGGCCUUCGGGUUGUAAAGCCCUUUUGUUGGGAAAGAAAAGCAGCAGGUUAAUACCCCGCUGUUCUGACGGUACCCAAAGAAUAAGCACCGGCUAACUUCGUG